UACGAAGGGGGCUAGCGUUGCUCGGAAUCACUGGGCGUAAAGCGCACGUAGGCGGAUUGUUAAGUCAGGGGUGAAAUCCUGGAGCUCAACUCCAGAACUGCCUUUGAUACUGGCGAUCUUGAGUCCGGGAGAGGUGAGUGGAACUGCGAGUGUAGAGGUGAAAUUCGUAGAUAUUCGGAAGAACACCAGUGGCGAAGGCGGCUCACUGGCCCGGUACUGACGCUGAGGUGCGAAAGCGUGGGGAGCAAACAGG
Molecule: ribosomal RNA, 253 nt
Filed under: uncultured bacterium
Lineage: Bacteria
Description: partial 16S ribosomal RNA
Rfam family: Bacterial small subunit ribosomal RNA
Source: RNAcentral